Molecule: non-coding RNA, 76 nt
Organism: Proteiniborus sp. DW1
Lineage: Bacteria; Bacillati; Bacillota; Clostridia; Eubacteriales
Source: Rfam
GGGAGCCGGAUGAGCUGAGAGGUUCAAGUCCGGUUCUGAGAGAGACUGAGGGUGAGACUCCCUUGGUCUACUCACC